UUGUCUGUGCUCAUAAUUUACAUUGAUUCCCAACAGAAUCAUUUGUGAGUAUAGGUUUCCGUUAUUGUUUUAGUGUCCAAGGACAUGAGCCACCUAUAAAUGUUGAAGGAGGAGUCACAAUGAGAACAGUACGAGUUCUACUUAACACAGGAGUCACCGGGACCUCAUAGUAUAGCAAAAUGUUUGCCAAACUGUUGAUCUUGUUUGCCGUCCUGGCCGUGGCUCUUGCGAGGCCUCAGUUCUACUCCGGUUACGGCAACUACGCGUCCAGUUAUCCGGGCUACUACGGCUAUUCCGGUUAUUCCGGGUAUUCCAACCCCCUGAGCUACGGAUCCUACGGUACUUACGGAGCUUCCCCGUACAGUUACGGCUACGGUUAUUACUGAGUCUGACCUUAUAUGCUAAUGCCCAAUGUUUACGCCUAGUUAUGUGAUGUACCUAAUUUUAAUUCCUUGCAAUAUAUACUUACUGUGAAUACAA
Molecule: long non-coding RNA, 480 nt
Organism: Spodoptera frugiperda (fall armyworm)
Lineage: Eukaryota; Metazoa; Arthropoda; Insecta; Lepidoptera; Noctuidae
Exons: 2
Source: RefSeq, a predicted model, not a curated record